RNAcentral lists this ribosomal RNA (494 nucleotides) under uncultured bacterium. RNAcentral describes it as "partial 16S ribosomal RNA". It matches the Rfam family "Bacterial small subunit ribosomal RNA", at positions 28 to 507 of the family's 1533-position model. The record is from RNAcentral.
GACGAACGCUGGCGGCGUGCUUAACACAUGCAAGUCGAACGGUGAAGCGCCUUCCUUUUUGGUGGGUGUGGAGGAGUGGCGAACGGGUGAGUAACACGUGAGUAACCUGCCCCCUUCUUCUGGAUAACCGCAUGAAAGUGUGGCUAAUACGGGAUAUUCUGGGUCUGUCGCAUGAUGGGUCUGGGGAAGAUAUUGUUUCGGUGGGGGAUGGGCUCGCGGCCUAUCGGGUUGGUGGUGGGGUGAUGGCCUACCAAGGCGGUGACGGGUGGCCGGCCGGAGAGGGUGGACGGUCACGCUGGGACUGCGCCGCCGCCCAGCCUCCUACGGGAGGCAGCAGUGGAGAAUAUGGCACGGUGGGCGCAAGCCUGAUGCAGCGACGCCGCGUGAGGGAUGGAGGCCUGCGGGUUGUGACCCUCUUUCGCCAGUGAAGCAGGCCUGCCUCGUUUGUGGGUGGGUUGACGGUAGCUGGAUAAGAAGCGCCGGCUAACUACGUG